CCCAGGUGGCUGCAAUGCAGGGAGAAGUUCAGGAAACUGCAGGACGGAAGAAAGGCUUCUGCAGGGAGCCCCCCAAGACAGGCUGUUCUGCAGCCAGAAACCUGAGGCUCCAGCCAGCAUCUGUCAUCUGAGAAUCCUAGAGCGCCACGUCCACGCUAGCUACGCCACCCAGCGCUCCGGAGCGGUGGGGUAGUGGCAAACGCCUAGACGACAACUUUCUAUUGCCUUCGGAUGGAUUCUCACGAAGGGGAGGAGCGUUACCCCUGGAAUCAGUAUCCUGGUCACGAGCCGUACGUGUCAGCAGGGAACCUCCUCAUUUCCAUAAACUGUCCUGCCCUCGGGCUCGGCUCCUUUUCCACCUUCAUUGUCACCUUUGCACCCAAGCCUGCCGCAGCUGGGAUCAAUGGGCAGCAGCACCAGGCCCUUGUUUUGUGGGCUCCUCAAGGCAGGUGUUUGGUUCCUGCAAUUAGUCUCUGAUGCCGUGUGUGCCUUGACUGUGUGAAAUCCGUCCCCAUGGUACCUCCCCAGCACUUCCCAAAACACUGCAUUACUGUUCCCUCUCUGUUCCACGGGGUCAGGGUCACGGUCUCCCUUGUGUGGACGCGCACCUGUCGCUUGGGGGAUUCUCCACCUUACCCAGCUCAGUAGCAGAAGGAGCCCUGCAGGGCAACUUCUGACACCGAGCGAGCCUGGGAGAGCUGGGAAGGAUGCAGAGUUGACGUCAACAAAAACAAGGUUCUCCAUAGCAGCAGGUCGGUGAAGAAUCCGUUGGGCCGUGAGCUGUAACUGCCCGAGGGAGGGGAGGUGUGUGCAGCAGGGUUGGUCUGCAAGAACAGAAAUACUGGGGGUCUGGGCAGAGAGAGAGUGUCUCAAGAAACAGGUUUUCUCAUGUUCCCGAAAUAGUUCCAGCAUGUGAACCAGGCACAAUGAAACCUGAGCAGCAAGAACUGCCAGGAAACGUGCAAUUCCGGUGUCUUUCCCUGUUCACGGAGGGCGCAGAGCAGCACUGAGGACUCCCAGUUGCUGUCUGAAAGGUCCCUUCGGUGGGAAAGCCCGGCCUAGGACACCGGCGGAGGAAGUGUGGUGUUAGGCUAUGUUCUGUCUGCUCUGUGAAUACGUACUUGGAUGGCAGCUACGAGUCUGCCAAGAGGAGGCUCAGGUUGGCUUGCAGUGCCCGUUCGAGGAGGGACUUUGUCUGCAAUCUAUAGCCUCUUUCGGAGAGAGCAUGUAUGGAAAGGUCAGUUCAGCCUCCCCUUCAUACGGAUAAUGGGUCCUUGGUUUGCCUCGUGCUAGGUCUCAGCAGUUGCUCACAUAUGACUGGUCACUUGUGUUAAUGGAGAAUUAACAGUCUCCAGCACCGAGGGGCAGAAUUCUGGGCUGGGGUCUCUCUCCAGGCUGGCGAGGAGAAGAUGGAUUUGCUGCUUUUCCUUUAGAACUAAAACUGAUAUUUCAACUCUUCCUUCCCAACGGAGCCCUCCUCUGGGCUCCUACCUGAGUCAGAGCUCGGCGUGAUCAUCGGCCAGGCCAGCUUAUUGUGCAGUGAUCUAGUUGGUUUGGGAAGUCAGUUUAUUUUCCUUCUCUAGAACUACCCACAUCUUGUCCAUCCUGGAGCACUUUACUAAGCCAUAGUCGUGAGGGGUGGGACUUCCUGGCAUUGGCCAAACUGCUCCCAUUGCAAUCCAUGGCAAACCUCCCCUUGACUCCCAUGGGAACAGAGUACUGCUGAUCAGGAAUCUCACGUACAGAA
Chelonia mydas (Green sea turtle) is the source of this 1747-nucleotide long non-coding RNA. RefSeq lists it as uncharacterized. The transcript has 3 exons. The record is from RefSeq and is a predicted model, not a curated record. Lineage: Eukaryota; Metazoa; Chordata; Testudines; Cheloniidae.